GGGAAUCAGGCUGCACCUAGUAGAGGGGGGAGUGUCAAGGAAUUUGUAGAUCUAUUUUUAAGCUACCAGGAAUCCGUGUGAAGCGAAGUAGGAGUCUUGGCAGGGAGAGGGGCAGACGGGGAGGGCAUGUUAUGUCAGGCAAAUGGUCUAGCUCAAUUCAAGCUUCUGCGUUCUAGAUUUAAUGUGCUCAACAUCGCAGAGUAUACUUAGUCUCUGACUGCAAGUAGAUGGAUGCUACAUUGUAAGUAUUCAAGCCAGAAAGAACCUUCCAGAUCAUUGAUCCAACUUCCUCAUUUUACAGAAGGGAAAACAGGCCCACACAGGAGCAGUGACUUUCCCAGGAUAACCAGUGAGUCAGCGGCCUCUCCCUGCCCAGAAGCCUGAUUUCCUAACUCUGGGGCAGACCCUUUCCCAGUAUUCCAUACAAGGCUAUUUGUAAUGGGGCGUUUUCCAAAAUCAGGCUGAGAUACCCUAAGAAGAGAUGAGCUCUAGAGAAGGUGAUUUCAGGGAAGAUAGAAACAAGCUGAAUUUGGGAUUCUCAGGAACUGCCAAGACGCUGAGGCCCUUCUGGCCCUGAGACAAGCUGCCCUCCUUCCAGAGAUGGCCAAGAGCGAGGCUGGCCAGAAAGAGAGGAAAUGGAAAUAAGCUCCCAGCUGCCUCACAGCCCCUCACAGCAGCCAGAGCAGUCACCGCUGCUUGCCGAUCGAGAACAUGGAGAAGAAAACUCCUGCUAUGUGGCCAGUCCUUCUCAGCAACUCGAACACCGGGAGCAACUCAAGGCCAGAGCGUACAAUGAUAAAGAAAUAGACCAAGCUCUUCCCACUUCAUCCCUGCUUGUCGGACGGGUUGGGCCUGGACUGACUCCUCUCCUCAGACAGACCCCAUGGGCAGCAGUGCUGAUUUGGGGCAGUUUCCUGAAAUUGCAGCAUGGACCAAAUCACAGGCUUUGGACUGCACCACUCAUUGCCUGGAGGAACCUUCCUUCACUUGGCUAAACUUCAGCUUCCCAGCUGUGAGACGGGAUCGCCUCUCCCUUCCUCUGUGUGAUGCUGUGCGAAUUCAACAGGCUGUAAAUGCGUGAAGCACCAGCACACAUUAGACGCUCCAUACAUGCUCUAGAACUUUCUCUUACCCUGAGCAGGCAAGAUCUGCUUUCUACCAUCGUGCACUGCGUUAUCCAUACAACAAGGAUAAGAAUACGUAUUGUACUCAGUUAUGAGAAGUAAAAU
RNAcentral lists this long non-coding RNA (1229 nucleotides) under Equus asinus (donkey). RNAcentral's name for it is "lncRNA (ENSEASG00005030266.1)". Lineage: Eukaryota; Metazoa; Chordata; Mammalia; Perissodactyla; Equidae. The record is from RNAcentral.